Populus euphratica (Euphrates poplar) is the source of this 3580-nucleotide RNA transcript. It is a transcript of the gene named phosphate transporter PHO1 homolog 1-like, with no coding region annotated. Lineage: Eukaryota; Viridiplantae; Streptophyta; Magnoliopsida; Malpighiales; Salicaceae. The record is from RefSeq and is a predicted model, not a curated record. The transcript is spliced from 15 exons.
GCUCCCCUUUUAUGUUUGAAAUGUGAACGUCCCCACUCUCAUCCACUUUAAAUUCCCAAGCCUUUCAAAACCUUCAUGAGAACAUGUUGGCAGAGAAGCCAUCACAUCCGGUGGCGGUUUGAUGAUUUUCCGGCGAAUCUUGGCCACUAUAACUUUCAAGUGGACGAAGCAUAGAAUUAUUAGUACAACUGCAAAGGAUAUUUUAGAAUGUGCUGUCGAGCAUCGGUACGAGCACGUCAAUCAUAUUCCUUCUUUUUUUUUUUUUCCCAUCCCUUAAAUAAUGUGAUUACGGGCUGCCAUCAAACACAUUCUCAAGUCUCAACAAAACUAGCUGCACAAAAAAACUUCACCUAGUUACAACCUCUUUCAUUUCUUUUGUUUUCUCUAGGAAAACAUAAGUGACAGGCUAGGGUGAGUUGUUGAGGAUGGUGAAGUUUUCUAAGCAGUUUGAGGGUCAGCUUGUGCCUGAGUGGAAAGAGGCUUUUGUUGAUUACUGGCAACUCAAGAAAGACCUCAAGAAAAUCCAUCUCCUUAAUAACAACAACAAGAACACCCUCAUCAAGCACAGUCAUCAUAAAUCUUUGUCUAGCAACAUCCUUUCCUCUCUUAAGGGGGAGUUCUCUAUAUUUGGUCAUCAACACAAGGACCAUGAAGCCAUUCAUGUUCACAAGAAACUUGCAUCUUCAGCUAGUAAAGGUGAUAUGUACGAGACAGAACUGGUUGAACAAUUUGAGGAUAGUGAUGCUGCCAAAGAGUUUUUCUCAUGCUUGGACUUGCAACUUAACAAAGUUAACCAGUUUUACAGGACUAAGGAGAAAGAGUUCUUGGAUAGAGGGGAUUGCUUGAAGAAACAAAUGGAUAUUCUUGUUGAGCUCAAAGCUGCAUUCAAACAACAGCGCGACAAAGCUGCUAAUUCUGCUCAGGAUUCCACUGAGGAUGCCUCUAUUGAUUGCAGAAUCUCUUGUGAGGAAGAUUCAGUGACAGACAGAAUAGAACAAGAACAGAUUCAGGACGAAAGCACAGAUGGCUUGGAGAAAAAUGAAGUCCUAGACUCCCCAAGAUCAGAAGAGAUGGGAAAAUCAACAAGGAUCAUGAGAAGAGAGGUUAGCAAACUGAGGACACAUUCGGGCCGUGUUUUCAAUUGCCAAGGGAAGAAUUUAAGGAUAAACAUUCCUCUAACAACACCUUCUCGUACUUUCUCGGCGAUCAGUUACCUAGUUUGGGGAGAUUUAGUUAGUCAGUCCUCCAAGAAAUGCAACCCUGAAGGGAGCAAGCUGCAUAUCAACAAAACAAAGUUGCAUCAUGCAGAGAAGAUGAUCAAAGGAGGUUUCAUAGAACUCUAUAAAGGGUUGGGAUAUCUUGAAACUUACAGGAACUUGAACAUGCUUGCUUUUAUAAAGAUUUUGAAGAAAUUCGAUAAAGUAACUGAAAAACAAGUGCUUCCCAUCUAUCUAAAAGUUGUCGAAAGCUCCUAUUUUAACAGUUCAGACAAGGUAAUGAACUUAGCAGAUGAAGUUGAGGAUCUAUUUAUCAAACAUUUCGCUGAAGAAGACAGAAGAAAGGCCAGAAAAUAUCUUAAACCUCAUCAACAUACAGAAUCACACUCUGUGACCUUUUUCAUCGGACUGUUCACCGGGAGCUUCAUAGCCCUCCUUGUUGGUUAUGUAAUAAUGGCUCGUAUCACGGGGAUGUACAGACAGCAACCAGAUACAGCAUACAUGGAAACUGUCUAUCCUGUGCUUAGCAUGUUCAGCUUGAUGUUCCUGCACUUCUUUUUGUAUGGUUGCAACAUUUUAAUGUGGAGGAAAUCCAGGAUAAAUUAUAGCUUCAUCUUUGAGCUGGCCCCCACAAAGGAGCUAAAGUACAGAGAUGUAUUCUUGAUAUGCACCACAUCUAUGACUGCUGUGGUGGGAGUCAUGUUUAUUCAUUUGUCACUUCUUACGAAACGACAUUCGUAUUCCCAAGUUCAAGCCAUCCCAGGCCUUCUAUUAUUGAGCUUCCUGUUAUUGCUCGUGUGCCCCUUCAACAUUUGCUACCGAUCAAGUCGUUACAGCUUCCUUUGUGUGAUAAGGAACAUCAUUCUAUCACCUCUCUACAAGGUUGUCAUGCUGGACUUCUUCAUGGCUGACCAGCUUUGUAGUCAGGUGCCAAUGCUUCGGAACCUUGAGUAUGUGGCAUGCUAUUAUUUAACCGGGAGCUACAAAACUCAGGACUUUGGCUACUGCAUGAGGGCUAAGCAUUACCGUGAUCUUGCUUAUGCAGUAUCCUUUAUACCCUAUUACUGGAGAGCAAUGCAGUGUGCUAGGCGAUGGUUUGACGAAGGACAGAUAAAUCACCUUGUCAAUCUAGGCAAAUAUGUAUCAGCAAUGUUAGCUGCAGGAGCCAAAGUGGCCUAUGAGAGAGAAAAGAGUGUAGGAUGGCUGUGCCUUGUCGUAGUUAUCUCAAGCGCUGCAACAAUUUACCAAUUGUAUUGGGACUUCGUAAUGGAUUGGGGUUUACUCCAAAUGAAUUCCAAGAAUCCCUGGCUAAGGAAUGAAUUAGUGCUUCGUCGAAAGUUCAUUUACUACUUCUCCAUGGGAUUGAACCUUGUUCUCAGGCUUGCUUGGCUACAAACUGUUCUCCAUUCAAAUUUUGAACAUGUUGAUUAUAGAGUAACGGGACUGUUUUUAGCUUCCCUUGAAGUCAUCAGGAGAGGACAGUGGAAUUUUUACAGGUUGGAGAAUGAGCAUCUAAAUAAUGCUGGCAAGUAUAGAGCAGUCAAGACGGUGCCACUUCCUUUUCAUGAAGUGGAUGAAGAAGACUGAUGGCUAAUGUCUGACGAUGGUCACUGGCGGCAGUUGCUUUCAGAAUUCGAUUCCGAUUUGCUGCAGGGAUAGAGAAGGUUCAUAGUUGUCCUUGUACCGGUUGUAGCAAGACAUCAACUUGGACAUAAUUGUUCCAGGGAUAAAGAAGGUUCAUAGUUGUCCUUGUACCGGUUGUAGCAAGACAUCAACUUGGACAUAAUUGUUCCAGGGAUAAAGAAGGUUCAUAGUUGUCCUUGUACCGGUUGUAGCAAGACAUCAACUUGGACAUAAUUGUUCCAGGGAUAAAGAAGGUUCAUAGUUGUCCUUGUACCGGUUGUAGCAAGACAUCAACUUGGACAUAAUUGUUCCAGGGAUAAAGAAGGUUCAUAGUUGUCCUUGUACCGGUUGUAGCAAGACAUCAACUUGGACAUAAUUGUUCCAGGGAUAAAGAAGGUUCAUAGUUGUCCUUGUACCGGUUGUAGCAAGACAUCAACUUGGACAUAAUUGUUCCAGGGAUAAAGAAGGUUCAUAGUUGUCCUUGUACCGGUUGUAGCAAGACAUCAACUUGGACAUAAUUGUUCCAGGGAUAGAGAAGGUUCAUAGUUGUGUACAGGAUUUUCUUCAAGGAAAAGAAAAUCAUGCACAGAUCACCUACCCGAAUUUCUUGUUACUCAUUCUUGUCAAUACUUUCCUUGCCUUCUAUCUAGGUCCUGCAAAACACUGGACUGUGUUGAGAAGGAAUUUUUUAUAUCCAAAACUGAAGUAAUUUCUUGUUCAAUAUAUCUUUCUUUCUUUCC